GCACAAGCGGUGGAGUAUGUGGUUUAAUUCGAUGCAACGCGAAGAACCUUACCUGGUCUUGACAUCCCGGAGACCCUUAGGAAACUAGGGGGUGCUUCCAUCUGGAAGAAUCUGGAGACAGGUGCUGCAUGGCUGUCGUCAGCUCGUGUCGUGAGAUGUUGGGUUAAGUCCCGCAACGAGCGCAACCCUUGCCUUUAGUUGCCAGCAGUUCGGCUGGGCACUCUAAAGGGACUGCCGGUGUUAAACCGGAGGAAGGUGGGGAUGACGUCAAGUCCUCAUGGCCUUUAUGACCAGGGCUACACACGUACUACAAUGGCCGAUACAAAGGGCAGCGACACUGCGAGGUGGAGCCAAUCCCGUAAAAUCGGUCUCAGUCCGGAUUGGAGUCUGCAACUCGACUCCAUGAAGUUGGAAUCGCUAGUAAUCGUGGAUCAGCAUGCCACGGUGAAUACGUUCCCGGGCCUU
This 465-nucleotide ribosomal RNA is filed under the name uncultured Desulfobulbus sp. RNAcentral's name for it is "bacterial SSU rRNA". It matches the Rfam family "Bacterial small subunit ribosomal RNA", at positions 923 to 1382 of the family's 1533-position model. Lineage: Bacteria; Pseudomonadati; Thermodesulfobacteriota; Desulfobulbia; Desulfobulbales; Desulfobulbaceae. The record is from RNAcentral.